Molecule: unclassified non-coding RNA, 174 nt
Filed under: uncultured fungus
Lineage: Eukaryota; Fungi
Description: sequence contains ITS1, 5.8S rRNA gene
Source: RNAcentral
CCGAGUGAGGGCCCUCUGGGUCCAACCUCCCACCCGUGUUUAUUUACCUUGUUGCUUCGGCGGGCCCGCCUUAACUGGCCGCCGGGGGGCUCACGCCCCCGGGCCCGCGCCCGCCGAAGACACCCUCGAACUCUGUCUGAAGAUUGUAGUCUGAGUGAAAAUAUAAAUUAUUUA